GAUGAACGCUAGCGGCAGGCCUAACACAUGCAAGUCAGGGGGUAACAUAGAAAAGCUUGCUUUUCUGAUGACGACCGGCGCACGGGUGCGUAACGCGUAUACAACCUACCUUUUAGCGGGGAAUAGCCCAGGGAAACUUGGAUUAAUGCCCCAUAGUAUAUAGACUUCUCCUGAAGUUUAUAUUAAACAUUUAUGGCUAUUAGAUGGGUAUGCGUCCUAUUAGUUAGUUGGUAAGGUAACGGCUUACCAAGGCAGCGAUAGGUAGGGGUCCUGAGAGGGAGAUCCCCACACUGGUACUGAGACACGGACCAGACUCCGUACGGGAGGCAGCAGUGAGGAAUAUUGGACAAUGGGCGAGAGCCUGAUCCAGCCAUGCCGCGUGCAGGAAGACUCGCCCUAGUGGGUUGUAAACUGUCUUUUACAGAGGAAGAACCCACCCCACGUGUGGGGGUUUGACGGUACUCUGCGAAUAAGGAUCGGCUAACUCCGUG
RNAcentral lists this ribosomal RNA (491 nucleotides) under uncultured bacterium. RNAcentral describes it as "bacterial SSU rRNA". It matches the Rfam family "Bacterial small subunit ribosomal RNA", at positions 28 to 507 of the family's 1533-position model. The record is from RNAcentral.